AGCGCAGGCGGAGAAGCAAGUCAGUGGUGAAAACGAUGGGCUUAACUCAUCGACUGCCAUUGAAACUGUUUCCCUUGAGUGAAGUAGAGGCAGGCGGAAUUCCGAGUGUAGCGGUGAAAUGCGUAGAUAUUCGGAGGAACACCAGUGGCGAAGGCGGCCUGCUGGGCUUUAACUGACGCUGAGGCUCGAAAGUGUGGGGGAGCAAACA
This 208-nucleotide ribosomal RNA is filed under the name uncultured bacterium. RNAcentral describes it as "partial 16S ribosomal RNA". It matches the Rfam family "Bacterial small subunit ribosomal RNA", at positions 568 to 774 of the family's 1533-position model. The record is from RNAcentral.